This 491-nucleotide ribosomal RNA is filed under the name uncultured bacterium. Its description in RNAcentral is "partial 16S ribosomal RNA". It matches the Rfam family "Bacterial small subunit ribosomal RNA", at positions 29 to 507 of the family's 1533-position model. The record is from RNAcentral.
AGUGAACGCUGGCGGUAGGCCUAACACAUGCAAGUCGAACGGCAGCACAGUAAGAGCUUGCUCUUACGGGUGGCGAGUGGCGGACGGGUGAGGAAUACAUCGGAAUCUACUUUUUCGUGGGGGAUAACGUAGGGAAACUUACGCUAAUACCGCAUACGACCUACGGGUGAAAGCAGGGGAUCUUCGGACCUUGCGCGAUUGAAUGAGCCGAUGUCGGAUUAGCUAGUUGGCGGGGUAAAGGCCCACCAAGGCGACGAUCCGUAGCUGGUCUGAGAGGAUGAUCAGCCACACUGAAACUGAGACACGUCCCAGACUCCUACGGGAGGCAGCAGUGGGGAAUAUUGGACAAUGGGCGCAAGCCUGAUCCAGCCAUACCGCGUGGGUGAAGAAGGCCUUCGGUUUGUAAAGCCCUUUGUUGGGAAAGAAAAACAGCAGGUUAAUACCCCGCUGUUCUGACGGUACCCAAAGAAUAAGCACCGGCUAACUUCGUG